Molecule: long non-coding RNA, 824 nt
Filed under: Zonotrichia albicollis (white-throated sparrow)
Lineage: Eukaryota; Metazoa; Chordata; Aves; Passeriformes; Passerellidae
Description: lncRNA (ENSZALG00000011822.1)
Source: RNAcentral
GUGGAAUGAAAUAAAAUCCACACCAAAAUAAAACCCAUAACAGAACCGUGUUGACCUAGAGACUCCAGGACUUCAGGAGGAAUUUGCAGGCAAUUUUGUGGCUCCUCUCCUUUGCCUCAGCUCCAACCACAGCCUCAGCACUAAUAAAUGUAUUUACAAGUGGUUUUUGCUCACUCCAUUGAAUCAGCGUGCCCAGGGUGAGUUUCCAGGUCCUGACUUCCCCCUGGGAUUUUGGGAAGGGGCUGGCUGCUGGCUGAGGUCUCUGAUUUAAUCACUCAACCUUACCCUUCUCCUUCAUUUGCAAACCCACAAGGGCGUGUGAAGAGUUUGAGUCAUCUCUGAGUCAGCUCCUCUGAGCACACAGAACCCGAGGCCAGCAGCUGCAGAAAGGGAAUUUUUCUGGAUGAUGGAGAAGGAACCAUCCUGGCACGAAAGGUCUCAGGCUCCAGGCACGGAUGACGCCGUCAGGAUUCAGAGGAAGAAGCUGACACUGAGCAGACAGAAUCCUGUGUUUGAAUGGAAUUUAUGCAUCAUGGAUGAAUAUUCAACAGGAUUUUUUCUCCUGAGAAGCUGAGAGGCCUCAGAGGAAAAGAAAACCAAUAAUUAUCUGCUGCUGUGGAAUGCAACAGGUGCAUCUUUGAUUGGUCCAUGUGAGUUGUUUCUACUUGAUGACCAAUGACAGCCACCUGUGUCGAGGCUGUGAGCAGCCACAAGAUUUUAUUGUAAUUUCAUUCCAUUUCCUUCAUUUCAAGCCUUCUGAUGAAAUCCUUUCUUCUAUUCUUUUAGUAUAUUUUCUUUCAAUAUAAUAGAUAUAAUUUAAUUAC